GACGUAGGGCGCAAGCGUUGUCCGGAUUUAUUGGGCGUAAAGAGCUCGUAGGCGGCUUGUCGCGUCGACUGUGAAAACCCGUGGCUCAACCAUGUGGUCUGCAGUCGAUACGGGCAGGCUAGAAUUCGGUAGGGGAGACUGGAAUUCCUGGUGUAGCGGUGAAAUGCGCAGAUAUCAGGAAGAACACCGAUGGCGAAAGCAGCUCUCUGGGACGGUACUGACGCUGAGACGCGAAAGCGUGGGGAGCGAACAGG
This 254-nucleotide ribosomal RNA is filed under the name uncultured bacterium. Its description in RNAcentral is "partial 16S ribosomal RNA". It matches the Rfam family "Bacterial small subunit ribosomal RNA", at positions 524 to 776 of the family's 1533-position model. The record is from RNAcentral.